UACGAUGUGUAUGUGUUUGCUUGAAGAACAAAGUUUUAUUUUGCCCCACAACCUAACCUGUAUGUCUCGUUUGUUCAUUCUGAGAUGUGAUUUGUUGUGUUAUCUGUCUGUAUAAUGAUCCAUCCAAUCAGAGAUAAGUGGGCGUGUCUCAGAGGAACGAUUGAAAAAUCUUUUCACAGACGGGCAGAGAGAGUCAGACCUUGGUGAGGAGCGGAGCUGACGCUGAAAUGAAUGCUUGUUUGCUACGAUGUUUUUCAGAGUCAACUUUCUGUUCAGAAAUGGGGAAACCGUUGUCAUGUAAAAACAACCCAAAAAAACGUUCAAAGUUCUAAAGGGACUUUUAUGAAAUUGACCAUAGACGGGUCUUAUUUGGACUCUCUGGAAGACCGAGCACACCGUGCCGCUCGUCUGAGCCGAUCCCAGCCUCCAGGCCUCAAGAGAUUCCCGCCUCUUCCUCUGUCCUGCACAGUCAGAUUAUGCCGCAGAGUUUGUCUGCAGAGCAUUUUCCCCGCCAACAGUUGGCGUGACCAUCAGCUACGCCAGGUUUUUUUCCAUCGGGAGGAAUCCUCUUCCCAUCUGCUGAUGGCGAGCUAACAGAGCCCACCUGGACCAAAAGCCAACUGUCCCUACUAACGCGGACCAGCAGCAGCGUGGACGGCCUGCUGCCAGAGGUAAGAAGAGCAGCAAAGGUAAGGGCUGUUCUCCUUCCUGCAUCUGUUGUGAGGUUCAGCCAACGCUCUGACAUCACAGCUUUUUAUAGUCUUUUUUUAAAGUGAUGACAUCAUAACUAAUCCAGGUCCUAAAAUACAGGGCUGUGAUGACUUGUUAUGACAACGUGUCACAAUGUGUCAUAACGUGUCAUCACAGCCUUGUUUUGUUAUGACGAAAUAUGACAUCACUGAUGACAUCAAACUCAUCAAGCAAAAUGUCAUUUGACUCCAUCAUAUUUUUUAAUAUAUAUCACCCCGACUUUCUAAACUUUAAUUGGACAGACUGCAGUUCAAGUACUAGAUCCGCAAUCAGAGAGCAUUUGCUGUUCAAGGUUUUUAAAGCCUUUAUUUUAGAACAGUUUUUAAGAACUUCCAUGAUGAGUUUCUUUAGAAGAACUGCGGUGAACAUGGGCUUUCUUCAGGAGGGCCAACUAGAUUGUUUGCACCAAGAAAAUGACAGUUUACGUCACAGGAUCGAAACUCUUCGUGGCACUUUGGGUAACAGCAAAAAGGUGGAGGAAAUGCACAAAGACGUCGACAAACGGAAGAAAGCGGCCUCUAAACUGAACAAAAGUUUGAAAAAAGAACUUGACAAACUAAGUAGGCAGCUUCGGAUUCAGAUCGAUUUGGAAAACAAAUGUAAACGUUACCAGGACAAGAUAGAAACGCUCAACCGCAUGAAUGAAAUGUAUCAAAGACAAACGACAAGCGUCAUAGAACAACUGUCGGACAAGACAACCCUGGAAAACAAACUGAAGGGGCUGAAAGCCAAGGAAGCGCUUUUGAGAAACAAUAAACUCCAAAUUGAGAAAGACUUAAGGUGCGCUGACCCUUCACAACACAACGGUUUCAAAAAGAUCAAAGAAAAAGAAGUUUUAGUCCAACAGUUAGAAGAGGAAACAGAAACUCUUGAACAAAUGCUUAGAGAAAUGCAGGUUUCUGUCCAGGAAAAGGAAAACUUGACCAAACAUUUGAUUCAAAGAGGUUCAUUGUGUCUAUAAAAUUACACUGCGUAUUUAAUUUAUUUUUUAUCAGACACUGGUUUGUUUUGUGAUG
Non-coding RNA from Oryzias latipes (Japanese medaka), 1766 nucleotides. NCBI's taxonomy places the organism in Eukaryota, Metazoa, Chordata, Actinopteri, Beloniformes, Adrianichthyidae. The record is from RefSeq and is a predicted model, not a curated record.